CAGUAGCCGCGGGAAUACAGAGGGUGCGAGCGUUAAUCGGAUUUACUGGGCGUAAAGCGUGCGUAGGCGGCUUCUUAAGUCGGAUGUGAAAUCCCUGAGCUUAACUUAGGAAUUGCAUUCGAUACUGGGAAGCUAGAGUAUGGGAGAGGAUGGUAGAAUUCCAGGUGUAGCGGUGAAAUGCGUAGAGAUCUGGAGGAAUACCGAUGGCGAAGGCAGCCAUCUGGCCUAAUACUGACGCUGAUGGACGAAAGCGUGGGGAGCGAACAGGAUUAGAUACCCGAGUAGUCCCUGUCUCUUAUAA
RNAcentral lists this ribosomal RNA (301 nucleotides) under uncultured bacterium. RNAcentral's name for it is "partial 16S ribosomal RNA". It matches the Rfam family "Bacterial small subunit ribosomal RNA", at positions 509 to 809 of the family's 1533-position model. The record is from RNAcentral.